AAGUCGUAACAAGGUCUCCGUUGGUGAACCAGCGGAGGGAUCAUUACUGAGUUUACGCUCUAUAACCCUUUGUGAACAUACCUAUAACUGUUGCUUCGGCGGGUAGGGUCUCCGUGACCCUCCCGGCCUCCCGCCCCCGGGCGGGUCGGCGCCCGCCGGAGGAUAACCAAACUCUGAUUUAACGACGUUUCUUCUGAGUGGUACAAGCAAAUAAUCAAAACUUUUAACAACGGAUCUCUUGGUUCUGGCAUCGAUGAAGAACGCAGCGAAAUGCGAUAAGUAAUGUGAAUUGCAGAAUUCAGUGAAUCAUCGAAUCUUUGAACGCACAUUGCGCCCGCCAGCAUUCUGGCGGGCAUGCCUGUUCGAGCGUCAUUUCAACCCUCAAGCUCUGCUUGGUGUUGGGGCCCUACAGCUGAUGUAGGCCCUCAAAGGUAGUGGCGGACCCUCCCGGAGCCUCCUUUGCGUAGUAACUUUACGUCUCGCACUGGGAUCCGGAGGGACUCUUGCCGUAAAACCCCCAAUUUUCCAAAGGUUGACCUCGGAUCAGGUAGGAAUACCCGCUGAACUUAA
RNAcentral lists this ribosomal RNA (570 nucleotides) under uncultured fungus. Its description in RNAcentral is "eukaryotic LSU rRNA". The stretch from base 219 to 372 matches the Rfam family "5.8S ribosomal RNA". The record is from RNAcentral. Lineage: Eukaryota; Fungi.